Clupea harengus (Atlantic herring) is the source of this 480-nucleotide long non-coding RNA. The record is from Ensembl. Lineage: Eukaryota; Metazoa; Chordata; Actinopteri; Clupeiformes; Clupeidae.
AUCUAUCUAUCUAUCUAUCAUCUACCUAUCUAUCUAUUUAUCUAUAUUUGUAUCUAUCUACCAAUUGAUCUAUCUAUAUAUCUGUCUUUCUAUCUAUCUGUCCAUCUACCGAUCUAUCUAUUUAUAUAUCUAUCUAUUUAUCUAUCCAUCUACCUAUCUAUCUAUCUAUCCAUCUAUCUACCAAUCUAUCCAUCUAUCUUUUUUUCUAUCCAUCUAUCUACCAAUCUAUCAUUUAUCUUUUUUUCUAUCCAUCUACCUAUCUGUCUAUCUAUCUAUUUUAUAUUUCUCCACUCAGGCUAAAUAAAUGGUCCUGUAUUCUGAGUAAAUGUAAUUAUGUAUUCUACUGGUGGCAAGGGGCCCUGAUGUCAUCGAUGGGCAGCGAGUAAAGUCUGGAGCAGCGAGUAAAGUCUGGAGCAGCGAGUAAAGAGCAGCGAGUAAAGUCUGGUGCAGCGAGUAAAGUCUGGAGCAGCGAGUAAAGUC